AAUAAAUCAGUCGGCUCUGAUUAACUUCUGAUCAAUUCAGACGGCGUCAUCAUUUUGCCUUAUCAACUGUCAAACGAGUUUGCCACUGUUUCGGAGUAUUCUACAGAAAAGCAAUGAAAUGGAGAAUGAUCUUAGCCAUAUUGUAUCAGUUGCAAUAUUUAGCAUACUCACAUUACAAUGGAGUUUCGACCUCUGUCUGUGAAAGUAUGACACCAAAUCACUCAUAUUUACCACAAGAGACGGGAAAUCCUUACACGCUUUCUGUAAAUACCACAACUUAUACCAACGGUUCAGUUAUUUCAGUCACUCUAAGUAGCCAAGACAAUACAACGUUUAAGGGAUAUAUGAUACAGAUGAGAAGGACAGAUAACGACAAAAUUGUUGGUAGAUUUUCUGAAGUAAACAAUGGCAAGUUGAUGACAUGUGGU
Mytilus trossulus (common blue mussel) is the source of this 428-nucleotide long non-coding RNA. RefSeq lists it as uncharacterized. The record is from RefSeq and is a predicted model, not a curated record. The transcript has 3 exons. NCBI's taxonomy places the organism in Eukaryota, Metazoa, Mollusca, Bivalvia, Mytilida, Mytilidae.